RNAcentral lists this ribosomal RNA (494 nucleotides) under uncultured bacterium. RNAcentral describes it as "partial 16S ribosomal RNA". It matches the Rfam family "Bacterial small subunit ribosomal RNA", at positions 28 to 507 of the family's 1533-position model. The record is from RNAcentral.
GACGAACGCUGGCGGCGCGCUUAACACAUGCAAGUCGAACGGAAAGGCCUGCUUUCCCUUGUGGAUUGCGGGUACUCGAGUGGCGAACGGGUGAGUAACACGUGAGUGAUCUGCCCCCAACUUGGGUAUAAGCCUGGGAAACUGGGUCUAAUUCCCGAUAGGACUGCAGGGUGGUGCCUGUGGUGGAAAACGAUUUUCUAGUGGUUGGGGAUGAGCUCGCGGCCUAUCAGCUUGUUGGUGGGGUAAUGGCCUACCAAGGCGGCGACGGGUAGCCGGCUUGAGAGGGUGGACGGCCACAUUGGGACUGAGAUACGGCCCAGACUCCUACGGGAGGCAGCAGUGGGGAAUAUUGCACAAUGGGCGGAAGCCUGAUGCAGCGACGCCGCGUGGGGGAUGACGGCCUUCGGGUUGUAAACUCCUUUCGACCGCGAGGAAGCCACCUGGUUGGAAGGGUGGUGACGGUAGUGGUAGAAGAAGCACCGGCUAACUACGUG